AGUGAACGCUGGCGGCGUGCUUAACACAUGCAAGUCGAACGAGAACGGAUUAUAGCUUGCUAUAAUUGUCAGCUAAGUGGCGCACGGGUGAGUAAUGUAUAGGUAAUAUGCCUCUUACUAAGGGAUAACAAUUGGAAACGUUUGCUAAUACCUUAUACUCCUUAUUAACAUAAGUUAAUAAGGGAAAGAUUUAUUGGUAAGAGAUUAGCCUGUAUUGUAUCAGUUAGUUGGUGGGGUAAUGGCUUACCAAGACUAUGACACAUAACUGGUUUGAGAGGAUGAGCAGUCACACUGGAACUGAGACACGGUCCAGACUCCUACGGGAGGCAGCAGUGGGGAAUAUUGCACAAUGGACGAAAGUCUGAUGCAGCAACGCCGCGUGGAGGAUGACACAUUUCGGUGCGUAAACUCCUUUUAUAUGAGAAGAUAAUGACGGUAUUAUAUGAAUAAGCACCGGCUAACUCCGUGCCAGCAGCCGCGGUAA
This 484-nucleotide ribosomal RNA is filed under the name uncultured bacterium. Its description in RNAcentral is "partial 16S ribosomal RNA". It matches the Rfam family "Bacterial small subunit ribosomal RNA", at positions 29 to 523 of the family's 1533-position model. The record is from RNAcentral.